This 440-nucleotide ribosomal RNA is filed under the name uncultured bacterium. RNAcentral's name for it is "partial 16S ribosomal RNA". It matches the Rfam family "Bacterial small subunit ribosomal RNA", at positions 338 to 795 of the family's 1533-position model. The record is from RNAcentral.
CCUACGGGAGGCAGCAGUGGGGAAUAUUGCACAAUGGGGGAAACCCUGAUGCAGCGACGCCGCGUGAGUGAAGAAGUCUUUCGGUACGUAAAGCUCUCUCAGCAGGGAAGAAAAUGACGGUACCUGACUAAGAAGCCCCGGCUAACUACGUGCCAGCAGCCGCGGUAAUACGUAGGGGGCAAGCGUUGUCCCGAUUUACUGGGUGUAAAGGGAUCGUAGACGGCAGCAGAAGUCUCGAGGGAAAACCCAUGGCUUAACCAGGGAACUGCUUUGGAAACUGUGCACCUAGAGUGAAGGAGAGGUAAGCCGAAUGCCUAGUGUAGCGGUGAAAGGCGUAGAUAUUAGGAGGAACACCAGGGGCGAAGGCGGCUUACUGGACUGUAACUGACGUUGAGGCUCGAAAGCGUGGGGAGCAAACAGGAUUAGAUAUCCGAGUAGUC